GACGAACCGUGCGAACGUUAUUCGGAAUCACUGGGCUUAAAGCGCGUGUAGGCGGGACGGCACGUCGGUCGCUGAAAUCCCCCGGCCCAACCGGGGAACGGGCGCCGAUACGACCGCCCUGGAGGGACGUAGGGGGACCUGGAACUUCCGGUGGAGCGGUGAAAUGCGUUGAGAUCGGAAGGAACGCCCGCGGCGAAAGCGAGGUCCUGGACGUCUUCUGACGCUGAGACGCGAAAGCCAGGGGAGCGAACGGG
Molecule: ribosomal RNA, 254 nt
Filed under: uncultured bacterium
Lineage: Bacteria
Description: partial 16S ribosomal RNA
Rfam family: Bacterial small subunit ribosomal RNA
Source: RNAcentral